RNAcentral lists this ribosomal RNA (443 nucleotides) under uncultured bacterium. Its description in RNAcentral is "partial 16S ribosomal RNA". It matches the Rfam family "Bacterial small subunit ribosomal RNA", at positions 338 to 795 of the family's 1533-position model. The record is from RNAcentral.
CCUACGGGAGGCAGCAGUGGGGAAUAUUGGGCAAUGGAGGCAACUCUGACCCAGCAACGCCGCGUGAAUGACGAAGGUCUUCGGCUUGUAAAGUUCUGUUAUGCAGGGUGCACACAAUGACGCUACCCCAAUAGCAAGCCACGGCUAACUACGUGCCAGCAGCCGCGGGAAUACGUAGGUGGCAAUAGUUAACCGGAAUGACUGGGCGUAAAGGGUGCGUAGGUGGUUUAGUAAGUUGGCCGGGAAAUUCCGGGGCUCAAACUCGGCGCUACCGCAAAAACUAGUAGACUAGAGUGCAGGAGGGGUAAGCGGAAUUCGUAGUGUAGCGGUGGAAUGCGUAGAUAUUAGGAGGAACACCAGGUGCGAAGGCGACUUACUGGACUGUAACUGACACUGAGGCACGAAAGCGUGGGUAGCAAACAGGAUUAGAUACCCCGGUAGUC